Molecule: long non-coding RNA, 1770 nt
Organism: Vigna angularis (adzuki bean)
Lineage: Eukaryota; Viridiplantae; Streptophyta; Magnoliopsida; Fabales; Fabaceae
Exons: 9
Source: RefSeq, a predicted model, not a curated record
UCCAUUGGUGUAUUGGACGGCACAUCGGUUGUAACAUUUCUCUGCAAUGGCUGUAUAAAGAUGGAAACCUCUUACCAAUAAUAAUAUAUUUCUGUAUGAUAACAAGGAAAAAGCUAUUAAGAGAGCAACAAUGUUCAAUGAAGCUACUGUCUCCUCAGGUCACCAAUUCUUUACUCUUCAUCAUCAACUAGCUCCCAAUUCAGGACUAAACUCGGUCAUUGCUUUUUCAUCUAAGGUUCAUAUUUGUGCUGAAUGGUGGUGGCAAUGGGUUCAGCUUGCUUCCAAUGGUACUCUAUAUCAAAGUGCCAAAGGAUAUGAUUUUAAGUCAGCUGCAGAAAUGUUUGCAAUUAAGAAGACUUCAGAAACAUUAAAUCUAUCAAACAAAAGUGGUAUGAAAAAGUUUGCUGCAAUCCGCAAGAACAUAAAGAAAGGAAAGAAUUGUCCGAUUAAGUACUGCCACAAGUGCCUCUUGACUAGGUACGGGGAGAAUGCUGAAGAGGUCGCACAGUUGGCUAAUUGGACAUGUCAGAAGUGUCGAGGCAUUUGCAACUGUAGUUUUUGCCAUGGGGUUUCUUUUCGAUUUUCUAUUUACUUUUUGAGUUGGUAUUGUAUCCAUAAGUUCAUUUUGAUAAAGGAGUUAUGUUUGUAGAAAGCGACGAGGUGAACAACCUACUGGUCCCCUAUAUUGUAGUGCCAAGAAAUCUGGCUUUAAGUCAGUUACAGAAAUGCUUACAAUGAAGAAGAAUUUAGAAACAUCAAAUCUAAUAAAUAAGGGUAAUCUGAUAAAGGAGCCUGAAGUAUUUCUCUCAGGGAAACUUGGAAAUGAAAAUUUUUCAGAUGCAAAUGUCACUGAAGUUUGCACCAAAGAUGAUGGUGGUGAGAAUUUUGGAAUGAACUCAGUGCCAAAACAAUUGCAAAGGAAAAAGAGGUUCAGAAUGCGUUGCAGAUUUUAGAGUUUUGCAGAGUGUUUGGAAAGGCUCUUGAUCUCAAGAAAGGAGAAGCUGAAGCUAUUUUUAAAGAAUUGAUCAGGAAAGAAUGUAUGGAUGAAGACAUUAGAUUGUUGGCAUUGAUCGUAACCAGUUCGAAAAAAAAGUCUCCAUCCUUAUCAACCAAGAAAGAAACUGAUUCAUGGUUGAAACGUUUAGAGGAUUUGAUUAUGCAAUCAUAUCACCUUCUAAAUGAUUUCUCUUCGGAUUGGUUAUAAAUGUGAUACUAUAAAUUUGGAUUUGUUUAAGAAGUUUAAACUUUGGGACGAAGCUUUGAACACUGAAAAAAUAAGGAGCUAUAUUCAGUACGAAAAUUCAAGACAUGCAAAAGUAGUGAAAGAAGCAAAACUUAAGAUUGAUGUAGCUAAGGAAAAGGUAAAAUGUCUUACACAAAAGUUGAAGAAUGAGAAGGUCAAAGUAUCUCCAUUCGGAUGGAGAGCAUGAUGCUCUUAUAAAGAUAAGAACUGAGGUUGAUAAAGCACAUAUUGAGAUGUUCAUGAGCCACGAGUCAAAAAUGUAUGUCAUGAUUAAUUGAUUAUGAAUUAUAUAUUGGCUAAAGUCCUCCACUUUCAUCUUUUUAGGUCAAAAUAUUUUGGUGUGGUACAAAAAUCCAUGGUUCAAAGCUAUCAAGUUGUAAAUCUUUAUAUGGUGGCCAUUUUUAUCAAAGUUAGAGUAGGUUCCUCCUUUGUUUUUGGACUCAAGAGACCUUCAUUAUUGUAAUUAUUGUAUAUAAAUUUUUUGUAUUUUAUUUUAGUGGAAUACAAACUGAAAUAAUUUUUUGUAA